UACUCAGAGAAGUCAUCCGUGCCCUAAGAUAACUCUGACGCCCACUUUCUAGCUCACCCAACAUCAUACCAUUUACGUAUAAGUAUAUACAUCAACAAAUAAACAAACAAAUCAUUUUUCCACUUUAGAAUAGGGGAUAGAAAAAGACAUUACACUUAAUAGAGAAAGUACCGCAAGGGAACGCUGAAAGAGAAAUGAAACAACUCAGUAAAGCACAACAAAGCAGAGAUCACUACUCGUACCUUUUGCAUCAUGUUUUAGCCAGAGCCCCUCAAGCAAAAAGCAUUGUAGUUUGACAACCCGAAACUAAGGGAGCUACUCCAAGCCAGCCUAAUAGAAAGGGCCAACCCGUCUCUGUGGCAAUAGAGUGGGAAGAGCUUUGAGUAGAGGUGACAGACCUACCGAACUUAGUUAUAGCUGGUUACCUGAAAAUUGGAUAGAAGUUCAGCCUCUUGAGUUCUCCCCUCACAUUGAUAUCUUUCUAAGUGAGACCCCAAGAAAUCAAGAGAGUUAGUCAAAGGGGGUCCAGCCCCUUUGAACAAAGAAACAACUUUUCUGGGUGGAUAAAGAUCAAAUUCAUAAAGGUAAGUCAUUGAGGUGGGCUUAAAAGCAGCCAUCCUAAUAAAAAGCGUUAAAGCUUGAACAUUGCACUCAAACCCCUAAUUCCGAUUUUAGUUUCCUACUCCCCCUCCUCYUAUCAGGUUUUCCCAUAACAUAUGGGAGUAAUAAUGCUAAUAUGAGUAAUAAGAGAGCAAGACUCUCUCCACGCCCAAGUGUAACCCGGAACAGACAUCCUGCCGGCCAUUAACGGCCCCAUAACUGAGGGUAAUAGGCCAAAAAUAGAGAACUAGAAGACCACCCAGAUAUUCCCGUUAACCCUACACUGGUGCGCCUCCGUGGAAAGACUAAAAGAAAAAGAAGGAACUCGGCAAACAUAAUUGGCCUCGCCUGUUUACCAAAAACAUCGCCUCUUGACCCCCUAAACAUAAGAGGUCCCGCCUGCCCUGUGACUAUACGUUUAACGGCCGCGGUAUCUUGACCGUGCGAAGGUAGCG
Molecule: ribosomal RNA, 1055 nt
Filed under: Melanotaenia papuae (Papuan rainbowfish)
Lineage: Eukaryota; Metazoa; Chordata; Actinopteri; Atheriniformes; Melanotaeniidae
Description: partial 16S ribosomal RNA
Rfam family: Bacterial large subunit ribosomal RNA (bases 221-1055)
Source: RNAcentral